GACGAACGCUGGCGGCGUGCUUAACACAUGCAAGUCGAACGGAAAGGCCCUGCUUUUGUGGGGUGCUCGAGUGGCGAACGGGUGAGUAACACGUGAGUAACCUGCCCUUGACUUUGGGAUAACUUCAGGAAACUGGGGCUAAUACCGGAUAGGAGCUCCUGCUGCAUGGUGGGGGUUGGAAAGGUUCGGCGGUUGGGGAUGGACUCGCGGCGUAUCAGCUUGUUGGUGGGGUAGUGGCUUACCAAGGCUUUGACGGGUAGCCGGCCUGAGAGGGUGACCGGCCCCAUUGGGACUGAGAUGCGGCGCAGACUCCUACGGGAGGCAGCAGUGGGGGAUAUUGCACAAUGGGCGGACGCCUGAUGCAGCAACGCCGCGUGCGGGAUGACGGCCUUCGGGUUGUAAACCGCUUUCGCCUGUGAUGAAGCGUGAGUGACGGUAAUGGGUAAAGAAGCACCGGCUAACUACGUG
This 468-nucleotide ribosomal RNA is filed under the name uncultured bacterium. RNAcentral describes it as "partial 16S ribosomal RNA". It matches the Rfam family "Bacterial small subunit ribosomal RNA", at positions 28 to 507 of the family's 1533-position model. The record is from RNAcentral.